CAUAGGACUAAGCUGCUGCCCACAGGACAAAGGGUUUCAGACAGAGGAAUGUUCUGCCCAGGUGUUUCCAUGACUCACACCAUCAUAGUGAACUGUUCUGCCCUGGUUAACUCCAUGACAUGCACCUCAUAGAUCUUGGUGUCAGAGAAGAUCUUGGGAAAAUGCUGCUGCCCCUGGGAUAAAGGGUUUCAGCCAGGAGC
Long non-coding RNA from Carlito syrichta (Philippine tarsier), 200 nucleotides. RefSeq lists it as uncharacterized. The transcript is spliced from 4 exons. The record is from RefSeq and is a predicted model, not a curated record. Lineage: Eukaryota; Metazoa; Chordata; Mammalia; Primates; Tarsiidae.